This 253-nucleotide ribosomal RNA is filed under the name uncultured bacterium. RNAcentral describes it as "partial 16S ribosomal RNA". It matches the Rfam family "Bacterial small subunit ribosomal RNA", at positions 524 to 776 of the family's 1533-position model. The record is from RNAcentral.
UACAGAGGUCUCAAGCGUUGUUCGGAUUCAUUGGGCGUAAAGGGUGCGUAGGCGGCGCGGUAAGUCGGGUGUGAAAGCCCGGGGCUCAACUCCGGAAUUGCCUUUAAGACUGCAUCGCUAGAAUUGUGGAGAGGUAAGUGGAAUUCCGAGUGUAGAGGUGAAAUUCGUAGAUAUUCGGAAGAACACCAGUGGCGAAGGCGACUUACUGGACACAUAUUGACGCUGAGGUGCGAAAGCGUGGGGAGCAAACAGG